UGCUCCUAUGGGGCGCAGCAGUGGGGAAUAUUGCACAAUGGGGGAAACCCUGAUGCAGCGACGCCGCGUGAGUGAAGAAGUAUUUCGGUAUGUAAAGCUCUAUCAGCAGGGAAGAUAAUGACGGUACCUGACUAAGAAGCCCCGGCUAACUACGUGCCAGCAGCCGCGGUAAUACGUAGGGGGCAAGCGUUAUCCGGAUUUACUGGGUGUAAAGGGAGCGUAGACGGUAUGGCAAGUCUGAUGUGAAAACCCGGGGCUCAACCCCGGGACUGCAUUGGAAACUGCCGAACUAGAGUGUCGGAGAG
This 305-nucleotide ribosomal RNA is filed under the name uncultured bacterium. RNAcentral describes it as "bacterial SSU rRNA". It matches the Rfam family "Bacterial small subunit ribosomal RNA", at positions 334 to 656 of the family's 1533-position model. The record is from RNAcentral.